GGGUUGUGAGGUUAAGCGACUAAGCGUACACGGUGGAUGCCCUGGCAGUCAGAGGCGAUGAAGGACGUGCUAAUCUGCGAUAAGCGCCGGUAAGGUGAUAUGAACCGUUAUAACCGGCGAUUUCCGAAUGGGGAAACCCAGUGUGAUUCGUCACACUAUCAUUAACUGAAUCCAUAGGUUAAUGAGGCGAACCGGGGGAACUGAAACAUCUAAGUACCCCGAGGAAAAGAAAUCAACCGAGAUUCCCCCAGUAGCGGCGAGCGAACGGGGAGGAGCCCAGAGCCUGAAUCAGCAUGUGUGUUAGUGGAAGCGUCUGGAAAGGCGCGCGAUACAGGGUGACAGCCCCGUACACAAAAGCGCAUGUGCUGUGAGCUCGAUGAGUAGGGCGGGACACGUGGUAUCCUGUCUGAAUAUGGGGGGACCAUCCUCCAAGGCUAAAUACUCCUGACUGACCGAUAGUGAACCAGUACCGUGAGGGAAAGGCGAAAAGAACCCCGGCGAGGGGAGUGAAAAAGAACCUGAAACCGUGUACGUACAAGCAGUGGGAGCACCCUUUGGGGUGUGACUGCGUACCUUUUGUAUAAUGGGUCAGCGACUUAUAUUCUGUAGCAAGGUUAACCGUAUAGGGGAGCCGCAGGGAAACCGAGUCUUAAUUGGGCGUUAAGUUGCAGGGUAUAGACCCGAAACCCGGUGAUCUAGCCAUGGGCAGGUUGAAGGUUGGGUAACACUAACUGGAGGACCGAACCGACUAAUGUUGAAAAAUUAGCGGAUGACCUGUGGCUGGGGGUGAAAGGCCAAUCAAACCGGGAGAUAGCUGGUUCUCCCCGAAAGCU
This 833-nucleotide ribosomal RNA is filed under the name Salmonella enterica subsp. enterica serovar Agama. RNAcentral describes it as "partial 23S ribosomal RNA". It matches the Rfam family "Bacterial large subunit ribosomal RNA", at positions 1 to 867 of the family's 2925-position model. Lineage: Bacteria; Pseudomonadati; Pseudomonadota; Gammaproteobacteria; Enterobacterales; Enterobacteriaceae. The record is from RNAcentral.